CCGAGUCCAAAGCCAUGUCCAUCGGACUCACCAACUAGGUGGCCGUCAACAUCCACAAGCCCUGCCUGGAUAGGAAGCCAGUCAGAGGGUCACAGGUCACACCCUGCACAUCCUGGUGUUACCUUUUCUGGGGCAGCGCCAGCUCCGGUUUGACCCAUGACACUUGCUGCCUCUGCAAAGGGCUGAGGAUGGAGAAUCUGGGGGAGCAGGGGCGACCCACCGGCUCCUGGUGAGGACUUCGAUGGCCUGCACAGAAAAGCACUUUUUAUCCUGAGGACCUACCCCUCCUUGCAUGCUACUGCCUCCCUCUCCUCAACCCACUCCAACGUGGGCCCUGAGUCUUCUUGCAACCAGCCUGACUUCCAUCCUUCAGCAGCUGCACCCCUCCAGGCUGCUGCGAAACCAGCAGUUUCCCUGCACAGACCUUGUGUUCAUAGAGCAAAAUGCUUAUCAGAAAGAUGAUAAACACAUUCCCAUCAGAUGAUGGGGAGACCAGCAAUGCAGGUUUCGGAACAGAAAUGGCAUUACAGUAAAUGGAAGACCUUGGCAUCAGGUGCAGCGUUCACCCAGCAAGGUUCGUGUGUGCUAAUGUGACAGUCCUGAGCCAGGGAACACAACUAAUGAAACAAAGUGGGCAUGGUGUCGCACGCUGGAAUCCCGGUACCUGGGAGUUCACAGCCAGCCUGGACUACAUAGCGAGACCCUGUCCCAACAAACAAAAACCAGAUAAAUGAAGUGGCCCUCUGCUUUGUAGACAGGGCUCUAGCUAAUAUUUAUUCAAUACUUACUCCGGGACAGUGAUGUGCUCAGAGGUUUCUACACAUGAAAACUUUCUUCACAAAAAACCCCCAUGGGUGGAUUCAGUUAAUUCUCCAAUUUAUCAGUGAAGAAACAAGUUCAAUUUUUCCAAGGCUACACAGUUAUUGAGCAGGCUCUUGAACCCAGUGCAGGGCUCUUCAGCACUGUGCCAGUGGAUCUCAAAGUGGGGCUCCCAGAGCAGCAGCUAUAAUAGCAUCACCACCUGGGAAUCUGUGGAGAACGAACGUCCUCCAGCCACCCAGGACAGACAAGUCAGAAACUCUGAGAACGGCCCCCGGUGGUGCUGAUGCCAGCUCAAGUUUGGGAAGCACUGUUCUCAGCACCAGUCCCUCAAACCCUAGGUUAGUUCCACAGAGCUAUGUGUCUGUGUUUUCCUUCAGGAUUUCGGAUCUGAAGAGUUUAGCUCUCAGUCAUGAGCUUAGGGCUCAGGAAGGAGGAUGGUUGCAAGUUCAAGGCCAGCCUGGGCUACAUAGUGAGACCGUCUCAAAACAAAACAAAAUAAAACACAACACAAUACCAGUCAGCUCUGAGGAAAUCUCACGGAGAAGCCCAGGGCUCAGAGUUCCUGGGCCCUACAGGUCACGUGGGUGACAGACAAACCCAGCCCUCCCACCACUGUGGUGGCCCCUAAGGGACUGUCUCCAGGGACUCUACAGCCCCUCCCUGUCCCAGUAUAAAGAGGGACUGAGCCAGGGCCAAGAGGCGGACCGGGCCGUGGGGGUUCCUUCCUGCCUAGGAACACAUCACCCCAUGGAGCAGCGGCUGCCCACAG
Molecule: non-coding RNA, 1591 nt
Organism: Heterocephalus glaber (naked mole-rat)
Lineage: Eukaryota; Metazoa; Chordata; Mammalia; Rodentia; Bathyergidae
Source: RefSeq, a predicted model, not a curated record